GAUCAUGGCUCAGGAUGAACGCUAGCUACAGGCUUAACACAUGCAAGUCGAGGGGCAGCGGGAAGUCAGCUUGCUGACUUUGCCGGCGACCGGCGCACGGGUGAGUAACACGUAUCCAACCUCCCGCAUACUCGGGAAUAGCCUUUCGAAAGAAAGAUUAAUGCCCGAUGGUUUCAAGGGAUUGCACGGUAUCUUGAAUAAAGAUUCAUCGGUAUGCGAUGGGGAUGCGUUCCA
RNAcentral lists this ribosomal RNA (234 nucleotides) under uncultured bacterium. Its description in RNAcentral is "partial 16S ribosomal RNA". It matches the Rfam family "Bacterial small subunit ribosomal RNA", at positions 15 to 240 of the family's 1533-position model. The record is from RNAcentral.